AAGGAGAAAAAGUGAUAAUUAGGGGGAGCAAGUUGGUAACAAGGGUACCAACACAAAAUGUUGAAUGUCAACAAUAUGUGAGGAAAAUGAAAGUGAACUUGAAGAUGGUUGGUGACAUGGACGCCAACGAGACUUGGAAAAAUUUCAAGGAACAAAAUCGGAAUCUUGAUUGGGAUCGUUGAUGACAAGUGCGUCAACAAAAGAAUAUUGAAUAACAAGAAUUUUCAAGAUUAAGGGGGAGUGUUGAAGAUUAAUCUAGAAAAUUCUAGGUGAGUGAUGUAAAUUCUAAGAAAAUAUCUAAUGUAUUCUAGAAAAGUCUUGUUAAAAUUCUAAGUUAGAUUAAGAUGGAAGAAUGAUGUGGAAAAGUCUAGAGAUAUCAAAUUGUAGAAAUAUCUAGAGAUGUUUGUAGGUAGAAGUAUCUAGCAUUAGAUUCUUAUAGAAAAUUCUAGAGUUAAGUAUGUAACUAGUAUAAAUAUGUAAUAGUUGUAUGAGAUGAAAGAUGAGCUCAAAUGAGAGUGAGCAAGAUGAGCUCAAAUGAGGGAGAGCCAAACAAAUGAGCUCCACACAAAAUAUUAGGAAAGGUAGAAACAAAGGGUUCUACCAAGGUUAAUGAGAGACAUGAGCUCUCACAAACACACUUGUAUCAUUAAUUAUCAAUGAAAAUGCAAUUUUUAUGAUACUAUUCGGGUUCAUCAAAACUUCCGUGUGCGCCACAUAUUCUAUCAUUUCUCUCUCUCUCUCCUCUGUUUCACCCCUCAACAACCGACCGCCGGUCGUGCGACGCUUGUCUCGCGCCGCCCUCAGUCACGUCUUCACCUCGCUGUCGUUCGCCGACCCCCUCGCAACUCGCCGGAGAUCCGCGCCAGCCAGCACGCACGUUCGUUCUCUCUCUCUCCUCCUCGCGCAGCUCGUUCUUGCUCUCUCCUUCGUCGCGACAGCAGCACUUGCACAGCAUCGCGCGCCACCACCUCGCCGCCUCACUGUCGCCGUUCGCCGGAGACGAUGUUCGCCGGAGCUCGCAGCUCCCUCAGCCCACUCGUGGUCUCCCUGCUCCUAGUAGCAGAGGUACCGAUGGUGACAAUGGGAUGGCGUAGCAGUGAGGAUUUAUUUAAUAUCUAGAUUAUAUAGACUCUCAUGGUUUUAAUUUAGGUUUAUGUCAAAACUCUAACCAGUAACUAAGUUUCUAUUAAUCAAGACUAAUGUUGGAUCUAUGUUAUGCUUCAUGUUAUAAAAUGUUUAAGUUUAUGUUUUUA
Molecule: long non-coding RNA, 1253 nt
Organism: Beta vulgaris subsp. vulgaris (sugar beet)
Lineage: Eukaryota; Viridiplantae; Streptophyta; Magnoliopsida; Caryophyllales; Amaranthaceae
Exons: 2
Source: RefSeq, a predicted model, not a curated record